This 561-nucleotide long non-coding RNA is filed under the name Urocitellus parryii (Arctic ground squirrel). RNAcentral's name for it is "lncRNA (ENSUPAG00010021092.1)". Lineage: Eukaryota; Metazoa; Chordata; Mammalia; Rodentia; Sciuridae. The record is from RNAcentral.
GGCGAGCUCGCAGAGGCAGCGGCGGCGGCGGCGGAGACGGAGAGAGGCAGGCAGGCAGGGCGAGGGCGAGAGACGGAGGGAGGGAGCGAGCGAGGCAGACCAGACAGACAGACAGGCGGGCGGGCGGGCGGGCAGAGAGAGCCACCCGCCAGGCUGCGCUCAGCCCCGCUAGCAGCGGAGAGAGCAGAAGGCAGGAGGAGGGAGGGGAGGAGGGAGGAGGGAGGGAGAGAGGGAAUCCAGCUACCACCACCCAAAGCCAGCGUCUGCUUUCUGUCCUCAUUUCCUUUUCCCACCCAGCUCGGAGAGCAGAGAAAGGCUGAGAGAGCGAGAAAUAGAGACAGGCAGACAGACAGACAGACAGCCAGAGAAAGCGGGAGGGAGGAGGGCGGAGGAGGAGGAGCAGGAGCAGGAGCAGGAGCAGGAGGACUACGCGGGGCGCGUUCCCUCCCAGCCGGGCGCCCGCGUCGCUGCCGCCGCCGGAAGACAGACGCCCCCCAAACCCCUAGCCUGGCUCGGACCCACAGAGCCAGCAGCCCAGCACUCCGAUGGGAGCUUGCCUGA